AAUAAUGGAUAAGAGAUCAGGAAUUGCUCUUCUUGUACUUCUUGUUGCAGUGUCCUGCCUUGCCAGUCCGUCUUCGGCUCGCGCCUUCACCAGUCUUGAUUUUCUCGCUCGAGGUAAUCGCCCAGCAACGCUGGAUGUAUGUAUCUACUAUAUGUAACGAAAAGUAUUGCUGAUAAGUCAACUUUUUUUAUUAAAAAAAAAGAUAUUAUCUUGCAUAUUUACUUAACAACAUAUUAGGAGAAAUAAACUUCAAAUUUAGUUAGUUUAUCACACUAGUAAUGAAAGUUCAGCUAUGGUCCUCUUACGAGAACAUGUCAGGGACCGAAAAGUCUAUGCUACGCAUGCAAUAUUCAUGUGCCUCUCAUAAGAGAGACGUGAAUAGUAUAUAUUCUAUCUUGUUCUCACUAAAUUAUCAAUAUUCAAUGACUAAAAAGUCUAUAUAUACUAUGCUUGUAAUAUUUAUACCUCUCAGAAGAGAAUAGUGGCUGGACUACUAGUAAUGACAUAAUCUAAUGUCUGCGGACUAAUCAAUCAUGAACAUGUUGCUGCUCUUUCUGCAUGAAGUGAUCAACGGAGAGAGAGUUACACUAACAGCCUGCAGCGAAUGCGUGUGUCCGCUGCAAACAAGUUCAUCUGAUGAUGAGUACAAAUGCUACUGUGCGGAUACUUACUCCGACUGCCCGGGCUUUUGCAAGAAAUGCAAGGCCGAGUUCGGAAAGUACAUAUGCCUCGACUUGAUCUCGCCCAACGAUUGCGUAAAACCGGUCUCCUCCUUGGAGGCGAAGCAAAAUAUGAUCAAGGAAGAGAGAGUUACACUAACAGCUUGUAGCGAAUGCGUGUGUCCACUACGAACAAGUUCAUCUGAUGAAGAGUACAAAUGCUACUGCACGGAUACUUACUCCGACUGCCCGGGCUUUUGCAAGAAAUGCAAGGCCGAGUUCGGAAAGUACAUAUGCCUCGACUUGAUCUCGCCCAACGAUUGCGUAAAACCGGUCUCCUCCUUGGAGGCGAAGCAAAAUAUGAUCAAGGAAGAGAGAGUUACACUAACAGCUUGUAGCGAAUGCGUGUGUCCGCUGCGAACAAGUUCAUCUGAUGAAGAGUACAAAUGCUACUGCACGGAUACUUACUCCGACUGCCCGGGCUUUUGCAAGACAUGCAAGGCCGAGUUCGGAAAGUACAUAUGCCUCGACUUGAUCUCGCCCAACGAUUGCGUAAAACCGGUCUCCUCCUGGGAGGCGAGGCAAAAGAUCAAGUUGCUGCAGGGUCGUGAAUGAGUGAAUAAGUGAGCAAGAGAUCGAAGUGCGUGUGAUGCAUAGUUAUAUAAGUAGCAAGUUAUGGGAUAUCGUAACUUGCUAAUGUAUUUGCAGCUUAAAUAAAUGGAUCUUGUGUGAUCCAUGCAUGAAUCUAUGUGCCUAUCUAUCUAUAAACUAUGCUUCCUUAUGUUCAUAAUGUGAAGUAGAAGAUGUACUAGAAUGGAUGUUUCGUAGUAUAAAAUUUGUGAUCGGUAUCCGUAUAAAUUAAUAUGUUCCUCUAAUAAAAAUGUACUCUACUUUAAUAGUUUAGUAGCUGGUACAUAUAAAACAUGGAAAAAUAGUAGGAUUAUUUCCAUCAAUAAUUUGGUUACAAACUCUAUUAAUUUUUCUUAACAAUACCACUUUGCAUCCUUAUGGGAGCAAACUUUUGUAACGCUGUUUAAAAAUCAUGCAAAUAGAUAUAACAUAAUAUAUAAAUUUAAUUAAAUGAUUUAUUCUGUACAAAACUCGGUGUAUAUCAUUAAUUGCAUCCAAAAGUCACUUAUUCAUGCAAUGGAAAUAACUAUAUAGCAAAAAAAAAAAAAGAAAAAAAAAGAGGUUUAUUCUAACAACCAAGUGUCGAAAGAAAAUUUCCUGUAUAUUGGGGUGUUUGGCCUAAUUUUUAAAAAACGCUUUUGGGUUGAAAAUUAGUUUUCGGCUCAAUAGAGUGUUUGACGAUCUAACUUUUAAAAUCUGAUUCUGUUUUAUAGAAUCAAAAAACUGAUUUUGAAAGCCCCAGAAUUAAAAACAGAAAAAACUAUUUUUUGAAAUCAGAUUAUGAUUUUUUACUCAAACAUCAAAUUUUUAUUUUACUCAAAAGCACCAUCUUCAUGGUACUUUUGAGAGUAUUCUAUCUCAACUCUCUCUCUCUCUCUCUCUCUCUCUCUCUCUCUAUAUAUAUAUAUAUAUAUAUAUAUAUAUAUAUAUAUAUAUAUAUAUAUNNNNNUAUAUAUAUAUAUAUAUAUAUAUAUAUAUAUAUAUAUAUAUAUAUAUAUAUAUAUAUAUAUAUCGGCUCCGUUAAAUAUGAUCUAAACCAUUUAAACUACCUAGAAAUCAAAUUUCACGCACUUUCGAUAUUGUUCUUUUAUCCAUCAAGUGAACAGAAAAAUGAAUGGCUGAAAAUGAAUACUCUUUAAAAAAUGAUGAUAGAAGUCUUGUAAUCAAGAUCAAGAGUAUAGAUCUUGUUUUAAAUAGGUUAAAGAAUUUUCUAAUAAAAAUUCAAUUAAUUUGGAUAUCUUUACGCCGUUAAACGAGAAAACGCUUCAUAUCGACCAUUAAAAUUACAAAAUUUGAACCCUUUGAUCAUUAGGCAAAUGAUGUCGAAAAGAUUUAAAAUUUGAUUUCUAAAUACUUCAAGCAGUAUAGAUUAUGUUCAACGAAGCCGAUCGUCAAUUUGGAAGUUCUAUCACCGAAAACAAAUCGGUAGUAAAACGGCUCGUUUACUACCGGUAGUAUUUUAGCUCAACUCAUAUAUAUAUAUAUAUAUAUAUAUAUAUAUAUAUAUAUAUACUACUAUACUAUCAAUAGUACCAAGCUCUUGGUACUAUUGAGUUUUCGGCCGUUGGAUGAAAAGAUGUGCGGUUAUGAUGAUAGUGGUCCCCGGUCAAAUUGAUAGUGGUCCCCUACGGUUGAGUGGGUGGUUGGCUUAAUAGUAUAAUCUAACGGGCGGAACUGAUCAAAGGGUAAAUCUAAUGGUAGAAAACUCAAUAGUACCAAGGGCUUGGUACUAUCGAUAGUAUAGUAGCUGGACUCUCUCUCUCUCUCUCUCUCUCUCUCUCUCUCUCUCUAUAUAUAUAUAUAUAAUAUUAUAUAGAGUGAGGUACUAUGCUAUCGGAAACAGAGGAGCUUUCCGUGCUUCCAGCUCGUUUCUUCGAUGUUGCGACUUUCGAAUCGUCGAUCGCUCGUUAAAUUUGAUCUAGAGUAUUGGAGUACCUAGAAAAUAAAUUUUAUUAUUUUUCGAAUCUAUUGCCUAGUGAUCGAAUGGGCUCAAAAUCAACAAUUUCAAUGACCGUAGUGAGCCGUUGCAAGUUUAACAGUGUAAAAAUAUCCAAAUCACGUGAAAUUUUGAUAGAAAAUUCUUUGUACUAUAUAAAAUAAGAUCAAUAUCUUUGAUUUAAAUUUUAAUUGUCAUUUAUUACAUUUUGUAAGAUUUUUAUUUUCGCCAUUGAUUUUGAGCCCCUUCGUUCACUAGGCAAAUGAUAUCGUAAAAUCAUAAAAUUUAUUUUCUAAGUACUUCAAAUACUCUAUAUCAAGUUUAACGGAGCCGAUCGACAAUUCGAAAGCUGCAACAUCGAAAUGAGCUAGAGCACAGAAGGCUUCGUGCUUCGAUAGCAUAGUAGCCUCACUCUAUAUAUAUAUAUUAUAUAUUAUUAUAUAUAAUAUAUAUAUAUAUAUAAUAUAUAUUCCGGCUUGGUGCUUGUAAAAGCACCAAGCACUUGGUGCUUGUAAGUUUUUUACCGUUGAUCUACUCAUCGGAUCAUUUCAACCAUAGAUUAUACUAUUCAACAAACCACCCACUCAACCCCAGGGGGCCCACAUCACUCACCGCAUAUCUUUUAAUCAAUGGCUAAAAUCUACAAGCACCAAUAACUUAAUACUUUUAAAAGCAUAGGAGUUGAAUUAUAUUUAAUAUAUAUAUAUAUAUAUAUAUAUAUAUAUAUAUAUAUAUAUAUAUAUAUAUAUAUCCCAAUAAUUGAUGCAAUAAGAAACACUAACACAGGUGACAAAAAGUACAUUAGUUAGUAUUCAAAAGUUCUAAAUUGUAAAUUUAAUUGCUUUUAUUUUAACUAAAUUUAUUUCUAAAAUAAUAAUAAACAAAAUGAUUAGUAUGCUAGCUACUAAUCUUUUAAAAUAAAAAAAAGAAUUAAUAACUGUGCUUACGUGUACAACAAUAUAAUCAUCGAUAAUUAUGUGGGCAUCAGAAAUAUUCUCACUUUGAGAGAUACAUAAAAUUAGAGAUUAUUUUUGUGAAAAUAAUAAUAUUCAUUGCGUAAGCAAAAUUAUUUUAGAACAUCAUGGCCAAUUUGCAUAAGAAAUUUACAAGUUUUGAAUUUUUAUAAAAUUGGACCGUCUUUUUCGAUUUUAUACAUUCGGUCCGGAUUUUCAGUAAACUGAUCCAAAUAUCUUUAUAUUUUUUUCUCCCUCUUUUUUUUUCUAGUCUUUUUUUUUUUCUCUUCGAAGAAGGCGGCGGAGGCGGAGGCGGAGGCGGAGGCGGAAACGGCCAGCCUCGCCUCUGCCCCUCACUCCCUCACCCUCGCCUCAACACCCCCUCGCCCUCCUUGCCUCCAACCCCGCCAAGGCCUUGCCGCGACCUUUUUUUUUUUUUUUUUUUUUUUUUUUUUUUUUUUUUUCUCUCUCCAACCCUCCUCCAUCAUCUCCGCGGCCCUCUGCGACGAUUGUGAGGAUGGUAUUACGUUCUCUUCCUUCACCUUCGCCCUUCACCUCCACUGCAGUAUAUUUUCUAUCCGCCAAACAAACCCGCCGUCCCCACCACCGCCACCGGCUACGAAGAGGAAGUGUUUAUCGGGGCCGAGAAGUAUGCCGGCGAGGGAGGGGGAGAAAAAUUGUUACACUCCGACGAUAGCGGUGGCUGCGAUAGAGAGUAAGAGAGAAAUCGUGACAAAAAAAAUAUAAACAGAAAAAAAAUAAGAAUAAUAAAAAUUAAAAAUUAAAAGUUAAAAAUAUUUUUUUUCCUACAGGAAAGGCCAAAAAUCAUAGAUAAGGAACAAAAAAAUGAAAUUGUACUGUUAAAAAAAAAGUUACACUAUUGUAAAAAAUUUUUUGCCCUGUUUUAAAUAAAAGUUGUACUUUUUGAGACAAAUUACAGUUUUCGAAAUAAGAGUUAUACUCUUUAGAAAAAAGUUGCAUUCUUUGGGUGAAGGGGCAGAGGUGAGGCGAGUCAUUUCUGCCUCUGCCUCCUCCUCCGCUUCUGCCGCCUUCUUCGGAGAGAAAAAAAAAAAAAAACGUGAGAAAAAAAAGAGAGAGAAAAACUUGUUAAAAAUUUAAAUCGAAUCUGCAAAAUCAAAAAAGAUGGCCCAGUUUUAUAAAAGUUCAAAACUUGUGAAUUUUUUAUACAAAUUUGCCAAACAUCAUUAAUUCAGAAGAGAAGAGAAUUACUUAAUAUAUACCAAUAUUGCUGGAGCAUUAUAUCAACAUAUUUUCAUACUGGAAUGAAAGAUCAAAGAUUAAUUUGUUAAUAAUAAAUAUAUAACAUAUGCUUAUGCAAUUAAUGUGGACUUAUGAGAUCAUUUAAUGGCUCCAACUUGUGUUACAUUAUGACCCAUGCUAUCCAUGUGGUUGUAUUUAUAGGAUUAGGAAAUUCAAUAUUAGAUCCAUAAUUUAUUCACAAGUUGGAAUGGUUAUCUCUGGCCAUUACAGCUGAGCUUCCCUUAUGCAAAAAUCUAUAUUUCAUGCCCUCAAUAAAAAAAAUGAUGUGACGACGGACAACCUAAUUAAAAAAUGAUGGACGAAACUAUCAGCCUGCGUAUUAUAUGGGAUGGAGGAGAAAAUAAUGGAUCACUUAUAAAAAUUCAAACUAAUAGAAAUAUAUGUACAUAACAAAUGUACUUAAAGGUACCGUUUGGUUCGGGUAUAAGCAAGAACUAGCUAUUACAGGGAUAGGUACAAGUAUGGGGAUAAGAAAAAUAGCGUUUGGAUGAAAAUUGGGUUGUUCCCGAGGAUAAGAAAAAUAUUAUGAAGUUUUAUAUAGAAAAUGAAGGUGUUGGUGGGGAUAAUCGAGAACUACUAUUCUCGGGUAAAAAAUUAGCGUUUGGAUAUAAAGGGAGGGAUAAGGGCCUAUUCCUAUUCCUGUUCCCAAACCAAACAGUGCCAAAGAGUACAUACAAUUUAUGAGCUUUAAUUGUGACUUGACUCACUCAGUCUCACCCCACUUCAAAAAGGGCUCGGCAUACUCCGGCCUCACGUCAUUUUAAAUGUAUUUAGCCCCUUUAAGCCAACAGAAUUUACGAUAUGAGAAAUAUAAUAAGCAGAUUUAGAGUUAAAGUACUUUCUAAGAGAAAAAUAUUUAUUGUUCUUGUUGACGAUUAAUUAUAAACAAGAUAUUUUCGUCGAUGAAUAUAAACCAAUGGUUUAUAUAUAUUUUUAAUCUUUAAAACGAGGAGGUUUGCUCACUUAUUUUAUUAACUUUUUUUUUUUUUUUUUACAUGGAGAGAGACAGAACCAUUAAUCUUAUAUUUUCAUGUCGGAUCUUUCGAGAUAACGUUGGUGCUAAAUACAACUUAAAUCCACGUACGUUUUCAUAUUUUUGUGUGGGACACGUUCGUUUUCAUAUUUUUGUGUGGGCCAACUUUUUCCAUAUCAAGGGAGGUUGGUGGGUAGGCAACGCCUCGAAUUCGGGACGAAUUUUUAAGAAUUCAAAUUUGAAUCCGACUAUAAAUCCAAAAUUUGAAUCUGAAUUCGAAUUUAAAUUAGAGAGAUUUUAAAAAUUCAUAUUCAAAUUCAACCCAACCGAAAAUUUAAAAUUCGAACCUAAAAAUUUGAACGCGAAAUAAUUAUUUCUUUUUAUACCGUACUUCAAAACAUAUUACAUUAAAUCUAACAUUUUAAAAUACAACUUCAAAUAUAAUAUUAAAUAUUUAUAUAUAUUAUAUAAUGUAAAAUUAAUUCGAGUUCGUGACAGGUUCAAAUUCGGAUCGGAUACAGACAAAAUUUAUAUUCAAAUCCAAAUCCAUCAAAUUUUUAUUUGUUAUAUUUGUUUCGAAACUACAUUUAUUUAGCAUGAGAUAAGUUCCCUCCUUUUGGGUUCAGAUUCGAAUAUAAUUUUAGGUAUCCGUACCCAUCAACAUCUCUAUUGCGAGAUAAAACUUGUUGAUGUGAAACAAUAAAAACCAAAAGAAAAAACAAGAAGUUGGUAAUUAAUAGCCUAUAAAUAGGGCAAGGGCAAAGAAAAGGGAGAAGCAUCAGCUGUAGAGGGAAAGAGCCAGCAAUAAUGGAUGCAAAUAAGAGAUCAGGAAUUGCUCUUCUUGUACUUCUUGUUGCAGUGUCCUGCCUUGCCGGUCCGUCCUCGGCUCGCACCCUCACCGGUCUUGAUUUUCUCGCUCGAGGUAAUCGUCGCGCAACAACGCUGGAUGUAUGUAUCUACAUAAUAUAACAAAAAGUAUUACUGAUAAGUCAACUUUUUUUGUUUAUUAAAAAAAAAGACACUAUCUUGCAUAUAUACUUAACAACAUAUUAGGAGAAAUAAACUUCAAAUUUAGUUAGUUAUCACACUAGUAAUGAAACUUCAGCUACGGUCCUCUUAUGAGAACAUGUCAAGGACUGAAAAGUCUAUAUAUACUUCGCACAUGCAAUAUUCAUGCCUCUUGUAAGAGAGAGAUGAAUGCUAUAUAUUCUAUCUUGUUCUCACUAAAUUAUCAAUAUUCAAUGACUAAAAAGUCUGUAUAUACUAUGCUUGUAAUUUUUAUGCCUCUCAUAAGAGAAUAGUGGUUGGACUAUUAGUAAUGAUAUUAUUUGAUGUUUGCGGACUAAUCAAUCACGAAUGUGUUGCUGCUCUUUCUGCAUGAAGUGAUCAAGGGAGAGAGAGUUACACUAAUAACCUGCAGCGAAUGCGUGUGUCCACUGCAAACAAGUUCAUCUGACGAAGAGUACAAAUGCUACUGCACGGAUACUUACUUGAUCUGCCCGAUCUUUUGCAAGAACUGCAAGGGCGAGCUCGGAGAGUACAUGUGCCUCGACAUGGUCUCGCCCAACCAAUGCCUAACAUCGGUCUCCUCCUCGGAGGCAAAGCAAAAGAUCAAGUUGCUGCAGGGUCGUGAAUGAGUGAAUAAGUGAGCAAGAGAUCGAAGUGCGUGUGAUGCAUAGUUAUAUAAGUAGCAAGUUAAGGGAUAUCGUAACUUGCUAAUGUAUUUGCAGCUUAAAUAAAUGGAUCUUGUGUGAUCCAUGCAUGCAUCUACGUACCUAUCUAUCUAUAAACUAUGCUUCUUUAUGUUCGUAAUGUGAAGCAGAAGAUGUACUAGAAU
This 8269-nucleotide long non-coding RNA is filed under the name Ananas comosus (pineapple). Its description in RNAcentral is "long non-coding RNA (ACOM_LNC004716)". The record is from RNAcentral. Lineage: Eukaryota; Viridiplantae; Streptophyta; Magnoliopsida; Poales; Bromeliaceae.